This 496-nucleotide ribosomal RNA is filed under the name uncultured bacterium. Its description in RNAcentral is "partial 16S ribosomal RNA". It matches the Rfam family "Bacterial small subunit ribosomal RNA", at positions 28 to 506 of the family's 1533-position model. The record is from RNAcentral.
GAUGAACGCUGGCGGCGUGCCUAAUACAUGCAAGUCGAGCGAACGGACGAGAAGCUUGCUUCUCUGAUGUUAGCGGCGGACGGGUGAGUAACACGUGGAUAACCUACCUAUAAGACUGGGAUAACUUCGGGAAACCGUAGCUAAUACCGGAUAAUAUUUUGAACCGCAUGGUUCAAAAGUGAAAGACGGUCUUGCUGUCACUUAUAGAUGGAUCCGCGCUGCAUUAGCUAGUUGGUAAGGUAACGGCUUACCAAGGCAACGAUGCAUAGCCGACCUGAGGGGGGGAUCGGCCACACUGGAACUGAGACACGGUCCAGACCCCUACGGGAGGCAGCAGUAGGGAAUCUUCCGAAAUGGGCGAAAGCCUGACGGAGAAACGCCGCGGGAGUGAUGAAGGUCUUCGGAUCGUAAAACUCUGUUAUUAGGGAAGAACAUAUGUGUAAGUAACUGUGCACAUCUGGACGGUACCUAAUCAGAAAGCCACGGCUAACUACGU